Molecule: ribosomal RNA, 32 nt
Filed under: Lactarius sp. NC-2-8345
Lineage: Eukaryota; Fungi; Basidiomycota; Agaricomycetes; Russulales; Russulaceae
Also listed under: 1 other name
Description: partial 18S ribosomal RNA
Source: RNAcentral
GUUUCCGUAGGUGAACCUGCGGAAGGACAUUA